RNAcentral lists this ribosomal RNA (253 nucleotides) under uncultured bacterium. RNAcentral's name for it is "partial 16S ribosomal RNA". It matches the Rfam family "Bacterial small subunit ribosomal RNA", at positions 524 to 776 of the family's 1533-position model. The record is from RNAcentral.
CACGUAGGGUGCGAGCGUUAAUCGGAAUUACUGGGCGUAAAGCGUGCGCAGGCGGUUUUGUAAGCCAGAUGUGAAAUCCCCGGGCUUAACCUGGGAAUGGCAUUUGGGACUGCAAGGCUCGAGUGCGGCAGAGGAGACUGGAAUUCCUGGUGUAGCAGUGAAAUGCGUAGAUAUCAGGAGGAAUACCGAUGGCGAAGGCAGGUCUCUGGGCUGACACUGACGCUCAUGCACGAAAGCGUGGGGAGCAAACAGG